UUAACAAAAAUUUCAGCUGAGACUUAAACCGACUUUUUCAAGGAAAUGAAAUUAGGAGAACAAAAACACUUUGAAGUGGACUGCAUAUAUAUACUCAAAAAUAACAUACAACUUGAGUCAGUAAUGGUAAAGAAAACGAACGUACACAGACGGGUUUGGAUUUAGAUGAUGAAGAAUGCACUGAAAGCUUUGCAUUUGAGUUCUCUUUUUCGGGUGAGUAAGUUAGGGAACUGCAAGGCCGAUCAAUUUGAAAAAAGAAAAAAGAAAAAAACUAAAAUGUAAACGCAGCUUGAACUUGAUUUCUUUUGGUUUUUGGGGAGGGGACGGGGGGAGGGGAGGGAAUGUAUACGCAGCUUCAAACUUGGUUUCUUUUCGUUUUUUUCCCCGGGGGUGUGGAGGCCUGGAGGGAAUGUAAACGAACUAACGAAGCCUCAAUCCUCAUGCAGCUGUAUUUAUAUGAAGUGGGUACUGCUGACUGAUCCACGAAGGAAGACUUUUGAUGUCAUUGGUGUUUCUUUAUUUUUGACCUUUUAGCUAGAUGACAGAAGAAUGCCGAGUGCUACGGACACUCGCGAGUGUCUCAAUCGCGGCUCUCUAUAUAGACACGUGUCUAUCAAAAUGAAACCUUAUCAGAGAGACAGCCGCAAGUAUGACGAGACAAGCGCGAUCGUAAGGAUGGAAGCCGCAAGUAUGAAGAGACAGGCCCAAUCCACAACGAUCCAAGAGCAAUCAUUACCUGCAAACUCAACACAACACCUAAUUAACUUCAAACCCCACCAUAAAUCCACCAACAGUCACUAUUCGAAACAAAUCUACCUCAAAUGCGACGUCAAAUAAAAGGAAUAAAAAGGUUUCCUUAAAAGAGAGAGAGCUGCGAGUAUGAAGAGACAAGCACGGUCCACAACGAUCGAAGGCUGUGUGGUAUGUGUCUUGUAUAGAUUGAACAGAGCAAUCAUUACCUGCAAAACUGAACCAAACACUCAAUUAACAAACAAAUUUCAAUUUGAAACCCGACCUUAAAUCCACCAUUGGGCACUAUUCGACACAAAUCUACUUGAAAUCCGACAACAAAUAAAAGGAAAAAAAAUUCUAAAUCAACAUCGAAAUGAAACCUUUAUAAGAGAGAAAGCCGCAAGUACGAAGAGAUCUGAAGUCCUGUUGGUAUAUGUCUUGUAUAGAUUGACAGAGCAAUCAAAGGCCGUGUCGACCAGAGCAAUCGCAGAAUAGAAGAGAUAAGAGAGGAAAAAAGAAGGAAGAGGAGAGCUGCAGCAGCAAAUGAUCAGAGCAAUCAUUACCUGCAAAACUCAACACAACACCAAAUUAACAACCAACAUUUCAAUUUCAAACUUAACCUUAAAUUGAAACAAAUCUACUUGAAAAUAAAAGAAUAAGCAACUCCGAAUCAAAAUCGAAAUGAAACCUUUUAUAACAGAGACAGCCGCGAGUAUGAAGAGACAGGCACAAUCUGCAGCGAUCGAAGAGAAAUCACCACUACCUGCAAAACUCAACACAACGCCUGAUUAACAACAAACAUGCCAAUUUCAAACCCACCUUAAAUCCACCAACAGACACUAUAACUUGAAAUGCAAUAUCAAAUAAAAGGAACAAGUAGUCUAAAUCAAAAUCAAAACGAAACCUUAUAAAAGAGACAGCCGCAAGUCUGAAGAGACCAGCACGAUCCUAAAGGAUCAAAGCCGCAAGUAUGAACAGACCUGAUUAACAACAAACACCUGAUUACCUGCAAAACUCAACACAACACCUGAUUAUCAACAAACAUUUCAAUUUCAAACCCAAAACAAAUCUACUUGAAAAAAAAAAAAAAACAACUCCAAAUCAAAAUCGAAAUGAAACCUUAUUAGAAAGACAGCCGCAAGUAUGACGAGACAAGCACGAUCGUAAAGGAUGGGAGCCGCAAGUAUGAAGAGACAGGCCCAAUCCACAACGAUCCAAGAGCAAUCAUUACCUGCAAACUCAACACAACACCUAAUUAACUUCAAACCCCACCAUAAAUCCACCAACAGUCACUAUUUGAAACAAAUCUACCUCAAAUGCGACAUCAAAUAAAAGGAAUAAAAAGGUUUCCUUAAAAAAGAGUCCACAACGAUCGAAGGCUGUGUUGUAUGUGUCUUGUAUAGAUUGAACAGAGCAAUCAUUACCUGCAAAACUGAACCAAACACUCAAUUAACAAACAAAUUUCAAUUUGAAACCCGACCUUAAAUCCACCAUCGGGAACUAUUCGACACAAAUCUACUUGAAAUCCGACAACAAAUAAAAGGAAAAACAAGUCUAAAUCAACAUCGAAAUGAAACCUUUGUAAGAGAGAAAGCCGCAAGUAUGAAGAGAUCUGAAGUCCUGUUGGUAUAUGUCUUGUAUAGAUUGACAGAGCAAUCAAAGGCCGUGUCGACCAGAGCAAUCGAAGAGUAGAAGAGAUAAGAGAGGAAAAAAGAAGAAGAGGAGAGCUUCAGCAGCAAAUGAUCAGAGCAAUCAUUACCUGCAAAACUCAACACAACACCAAAUUAACAACCAACAUUUCAAUUUCAAACCCAACCUUAAAUUGAAACAAAUCUACUUGAAAAAUAAAGGAAAAAGCAACUCCAAAUCAAAAUCGAAAUGAAACCUUUUAAAACAGAGACAGCCGCGAGUAUGAAGAGACAGGCACAAUCCGCAGCGAUCGAAGAGAAAUCAUCACUACCUGCAAAACUCAACACAACGCCUGAUUAACAACAAACAUGCCAAUUUCAAACCCAACCUUAAAUCCACCAACAGACAGACACUAUAACUUGAAAUGCAAUAUCAAAUAAAAGGAAAAACAAGUCUAAGUCAACAUCGAAAUGAAACCUUUAUAAGAUAGAAAGCCGCAAGUACGAAGAGAGAAGCGCGAUCCUAAAAGAUCUGAAGUCGUGUUGUAUAUAUGUCUUGUAUAGAUUGACAGAGCAAUCAAAGCCCGUGUCGACCAGAGCGAUCGAAGAGGAGAAGAGAGAAGAGAGAAAAAGAGAAGAGGAGGAGAACUGCAGCAGCAAAUGAGCAAAGGGAGCUCA
This 3038-nucleotide long non-coding RNA is filed under the name Citrus maxima (pomelo). RNAcentral describes it as "long non-coding RNA (CMAX_LNC001184)". The record is from RNAcentral. Lineage: Eukaryota; Viridiplantae; Streptophyta; Magnoliopsida; Sapindales; Rutaceae.